CUCACAUGAAGUGCUCGCUCCAUGCUAAGAGCUUUACGAGCAUUAUCUCACUUCAUUCUGAACCCUAACAAUUGGGUCUUAUCAUUCAUUUUAUAGAUGAAGAAAUAAGUCCAGAGAAACUGAACUCUCCGAAUGACAUGGUGGGCUCAAACCCAAGUCUGUCAGACUCAGGCUGAUGCUCAAGAGAAGUUCUGACCCGAUCAGGGUCACCCCCAAAGAAACAGUGGGGCAGGGACUCACACACCCAGUCUUCCAGCUGCACAUGUUCUGCCCACCGCAUGGGACCAGGCCACCCCCACUGCAAGCCAAAGGGCUUGGUGUGUGCCUAGCACACUGCACACCAGAACCAGCCCCCAGCAUGCAGAUCAGCAUCGUCUGACACAGCAACUAGACACGUGGGCUCAGCUGUCAGAGGAAAUCUUCCCGGAAGGAGCCCACCCCAAAGAGGCCUUGAAACAAGUAGCCAAUGGAUGACUUGGUGCAGCAACACAGGCCUGCUUCAGACUCCCUGGGGAGACGGUUGAGAUCAGAUGGAUUACACAGCCAUCACCAUGUGAGGUGCGAUGACAAAAGUGUCCAGAGACUGGAGAGUAACACUGAGAAGACAGCAGGGGCUGGACAGGGAAGAGCUGGCACAGGUACCUCACAACUGUCUUUAAAUAAACCAGCUGUCUGUACUUGGAGCAGCCCAGCCUUGGCUGUGUGACACUUGGCCUCGGGGAGCCUUGGUUUCCUCAUCUGUGAAAUGGGGAUAAUAUCUGCCUCCAAAUAAGAUAAUGGAUGGGAAAGCAUUUCAAAAACAGUGGAACUGCUGUAAAACUCAUAGGAGGCUGUUAUGAUUUGCCCUGAAUACGACUUGACUCACCAAGCAACGUUAUCUUAAUCUGGGUUCCCAAGGGAACUCUCCUACUGACCAGCCAAGAAAAUAAAUACUCCCUCCAGAGCCAGAGCACAGACGCUGCAGGGGCAGUGGCAGGGGCAGGGAGCUGCAGACUGGCCACCUGAACCUUGUGGCCCAGACAACCAGGACAAAGACCCGCCAGGCUGAGCCCUCACCGCCCCCACCUGCCGCCCUGCCUCCCCGAGAGGAAGCCUGAGAGCCCAGAAGAGAAGCUACUGACCUCUUGUAGGUGUAACCGAGGACGAUGCCAGCUCCAAUGCCGAUGAUGAUCACCAUCAUGGUAACGCCCAGCACGUAGCCUGCCAAGGACAGGACACAAGAGAAUCGUCUUGCUGCGCCGGGAGCCACAGUCUGCACUAUGGAGUCUAAGAAACUUGGAUUCAAACCUGGACCCUCCACUGCCUUUGGCAGUGAGGCUGAGGAGAGGCAACGCAUCGAUGAAGAAGAAUGAGCAGAACUCUGUGACCAAGGGGCUGUCGGGAACAAGCAGGAAGACCUAAGGAGGCUGGCUUUGGUGUGGGAGCUCGUCAGGUGGUGGUACCACUCGCUGAGAUCAGGAGCCGGAAGAAAAGCAGGCUGGGGGAAGGCUGAGAAAAUGUGGCCAAAGCACAACUUCCCAGAAAGUAGGCUGUGGCAGAAUGCAUCUCGCCUGACUCCAGCCAGCUGCAGGUGUCUGGAAGAGGGUUGAAGAUGGUCAGAUGCUAAGGGCAGAGCCCCUCUUCUUCUCUCCACCCCCAAGCCCCAAGUGCCAGGGUAAGAAAGCUGAGAUUCAGAAGGGUUCUGCACAAGAGAGCCAAUUUUUGGUUGCUGCCACACAGAGAGAGACAACAGCCAGUCAGUCUUGAAGAGCAGCAGCCAACCAGCAGAGAGAUGGCCACUUCCCCAUGGCCUCCUGGUGUCUGUCCACAGCCCCGCCGCAGACAGGAGCAGGCGGGAAGUGGCAGAGGACAGACCGCCUUCCGCCACCCUCCACUCAGGCCACCAGGGCCAUGGCCACGUCUAGCUUCCCUGGGAGUAGAGGCCGAGAGCUUUGAAGGAGAGCUUGACCUGGACAUUU
Molecule: long non-coding RNA, 1958 nt
Organism: Physeter macrocephalus (sperm whale)
Lineage: Eukaryota; Metazoa; Chordata; Mammalia; Artiodactyla; Physeteridae
Exons: 7
Source: RefSeq, a predicted model, not a curated record